ACACCUCGUUCUGGAUCCCUUCAAGCUCCUGCACUCUCGGUAUUCUGGACAAUCAGUUAGAGUAGCCAAGCUUGCUCGACCCUAGAGUUCAUGAGGCUGGCAAUGGCAUCAACCAACGUUGGAGCCCGUGGUGGAAUCUCCUUAUUGAUUCCUGAUCCAGAAGCUUGAAAGUCUUUAGGAUCCGACAUUCUGCCAAGAAUUUUAACAGAUUAUUAAUGUCUGAGUAGCAGCUUAUCAUCAUUCUUCAUAAGUAUGCUCAUUUUUCAUGCACAUCAGCACAAUCAUUACAUUCAACAUGCAAACCAUACUUAUUUACAUCAUUAUUUUUAUUACAUGAGCAAGAGUUCACCAUACAGAACAUCCCCACUACUAACGUCUCAUCACACCUAUCUUACAUAUAUACAAAACAUAAUCUUUUCACCACCUACACUUCUCCA
Molecule: long non-coding RNA, 437 nt
Filed under: Setaria viridis
Lineage: Eukaryota; Viridiplantae; Streptophyta; Magnoliopsida; Poales; Poaceae
Description: long non-coding RNA (SVIR_LNC005692)
Source: RNAcentral